RNAcentral lists this ribosomal RNA (264 nucleotides) under uncultured prokaryote. RNAcentral's name for it is "partial 16S ribosomal RNA". It matches the Rfam family "Bacterial small subunit ribosomal RNA", at positions 524 to 788 of the family's 1533-position model. The record is from RNAcentral.
UACGGAGGAUCCGAGCGUUAUCCGGAUUUAUUGGGUUUAAAGGGUGCGCAGGCGGGAGAUUAAGUCGGCGGUGAAAUUUUGCAGCUCAACUGUAAAAGUGCCUUCGAAACUGGUUUCCUUGAGUGUAGAUGAAGUAGGCGGAAUUUGUGGUGUAGCGGUGAAAUGCAUAGAUAUCACGAGAAACUCCGAUUGCGCAGGCAGCUUACUAAACUACUACUGACGCUCAUGCACGAAGGCGUGGGAUCAAACAGGAUUAGAUACCCU